GGGAGUACCGCCGGCAACGGUGAAACUCAAAGGAAUUGACGGGGGCCCCGCACAAGCGGAGGAACAUGUGGUUUAAUUCGAUGAUACGCGAGGAACCUUCCCCGGGCUCAAACGGCACAGUGAUACUUUUGAAAGGAGGUAGCUCUACGGAGACUGUGCCGAGGUGCUGCAUGGUUGUCGUCAGCUCGUGCCGUGAGGUGUCGGCUUAAGUGCCAUAACGAGCGCAACCCCUAUUGUCAGUUGCCAGCAGGUAAAGCUGGGGACUCUGACGAGACUGCCGGCGCAAGCUGAGAGGAAGGCGGGGAUGACGUCAAAUCAGCACGGCCCUUACGUCCGGGGCGACACACGUGUUACAAUGGCAGGCACAGCGGGAAGCCACCCGGCGACGGGGAGCGGAACCCGAAAGCCUGUCUCAGUUCGGAUCCCAGUCUGCAACUCGACUCCGUGAAGCUGGAUUCGCUAGUAAUCGCGCAUCAGCCAUGGCGCGGUGAAUACGUUCCCGGGUCUUGUACACACCGCCCGUCACCCCAUGGGAGUCGGGAAUGCCCGACGUCA
This 555-nucleotide ribosomal RNA is filed under the name uncultured bacterium. Its description in RNAcentral is "bacterial SSU rRNA". It matches the Rfam family "Bacterial small subunit ribosomal RNA", at positions 876 to 1429 of the family's 1533-position model. The record is from RNAcentral.